GUGCAGGUGCAAAUGCAGCUUCAAACAUGACAUAUGUGGCCACCGACCCUCUGUCUGAACUGGUUUGGUCUCCACAGAAAGGUUUGAGUCUUAAAUGUGCUGAUGGUAGCUUCUCCAACAAAAAUACCUAUCUUUCAUGGGGUGUAGGACUUACUAAUAUGGCAAGUGGAUCAAGUUCUGAUAUACCUAUCUCAAAUAUUGACAAACCCAUCGACCAAAAAAAUUUUAUGGCAUCUCUGGCAGCAUGUAAUCUGGGGAGUGAGGUUGCUGGAGGAGAUGAUUCCACUAGAUUUCCUACAAGCAAUGCAGCAACUGGUGACCCAGCUGAGGAAAUGAAAAAUGCAGUGGAC
This 350-nucleotide unclassified non-coding RNA is filed under the name Hevea brasiliensis (rubber tree). Lineage: Eukaryota; Viridiplantae; Streptophyta; Magnoliopsida; Malpighiales; Euphorbiaceae. The record is from RNAcentral.